This 256-nucleotide ribosomal RNA is filed under the name uncultured bacterium. Its description in RNAcentral is "partial 16S ribosomal RNA". It matches the Rfam family "Bacterial small subunit ribosomal RNA", at positions 524 to 776 of the family's 1533-position model. The record is from RNAcentral.
UACGUAGGGUGCGAGCGUUGUCCGGAAUUAUUGGGCGUAAAGAGCUUGUAGGCGGUCUGUCGCGUCGGCUGUGAAAACUCGGGGCUCAACCCCGAGCUGCAGUCGGAUACGGGCAAACGUAGAGUGUGGUGAGGGGGAGACUGGAAUUCCUGGUGUAGCGGUGAAAUGCGCAGAUAUCAGGAGGAGCACCGGCGGCGAAGGCGGCAUCCUGGACCGGCAUUGACGCUGAGGAGCGAAAGCUAGGGGAGCAAACGGG